This 283-nucleotide long non-coding RNA is filed under the name Mytilus galloprovincialis (Mediterranean mussel). Lineage: Eukaryota; Metazoa; Mollusca; Bivalvia; Mytilida; Mytilidae. The record is from RNAcentral.
CCCAGUUAAUUGGUUUUUUUUAAAUGCAUGUAAAGUAUAACAUCACUUGUUGAGUAGAAAUUAAAAGUUUUCUUUAUUAUAGAAGAACUUUGCCCCAGUUUUAUCCACAGCGGAAUGUUUGUUGCUCGCUUGGUGAAGAGUAUUUGAUAAUCCACUUGGAGUACAGAAGAAUACACCAACACUUAUCCUGUAAUAGAAACAUAGUAAUAAGAUUACAUAGUUAUUCCCCCUUUUCCCGUAUAUGAACUCAAAAUACUGAAUAUAAAAACGGACAAUGAUCAAU